GGAGCGGUAGUCCAGUCGGCGAGAUGCCGGUCCAUGACGCCGAGGCUCGCAAGUUCGAGUCAUCGGUCCGCUCCGCCA
This 78-nucleotide transfer RNA is filed under the name Pseudomonas moorei. RNAcentral describes it as "tRNA_Pseudo_ATG". Lineage: Bacteria; Pseudomonadati; Pseudomonadota; Gammaproteobacteria; Pseudomonadales; Pseudomonadaceae. The record is from RNAcentral.